Molecule: ribosomal RNA, 394 nt
Filed under: Scoloplos dayi
Lineage: Eukaryota; Metazoa; Annelida; Polychaeta; Orbiniidae
Description: partial 16S ribosomal RNA
Rfam family: Bacterial large subunit ribosomal RNA
Source: RNAcentral
CGGUAUCCUGACCGUGCUAAGGUAGCAUAAUCAUUUGCCUCUUAAUUGGUGGCUGGCAUGAAUGGACAAACGAGAGCCAAGCUGUCUCCUGCUUACACAUAAAAACUAACCUUCAGGCGAAAAGGCCUGAAUAACUUUAUAGGACAAGAAGACCCUGUCAAGCUUUACCAGAAAAGAUUUUCUAAUAAUAUUUCAAUAAACAAACCAAUCCCGCCUGGUUUAGUUGGGGCGACUGGGGACCAAAACUAGCGUCCCCCCUUUCACUAGGAUAAUAAUCCUCCAAAGCUGAUCCUUAAAAAGACCAAGAGAUAAGCUACUGCAGGGAUAACAGGCUAAUUUUCCUUAAGAGCCCAAAUCGAAAGGAAAGUUUGGCACCUCGAUGUUGGCUUAGGAA